RNAcentral lists this ribosomal RNA (448 nucleotides) under uncultured marine bacterium 311. RNAcentral describes it as "bacterial SSU rRNA". It matches the Rfam family "Bacterial small subunit ribosomal RNA", at positions 1084 to 1532 of the family's 1533-position model. The record is from RNAcentral.
GUAGNNGUACGAGCGCACCCCUAUCCUUAUUUGCCAGCGUGUAAUGGCGGGGACUAUAAGGAGACUGCCGGUCAUAAACCGGAGGAAGGCGGGGACGACGUCAAGUCAUCAUGGCCCUUAUGGGUAGGGCUACACACGUGCUACAAUGGGUGGUACAGAGGGUCGCCAAAGCGCGAGCUGGAGCCAAACCCUUAAAACCAUUCGUAGUCCGGAUUGGAGUCUGCAACUCGACUCCAUGAAGUCGGAAUCGCUAGUAAUCGCGAAUCAGAAUGUCGCGGUGAAUACGUUCUCGGGCCUUGUACACACCGCCCGUCACAUCAUGGAAGUGGGUUGCACCAGAAGUGGUUAGUCUAACCUUCGGGAAGACGAUCACCACGGUGUGAUUCAUGACUGGGAUGAAGUCGUAACAAGGUAGCCCUAGGGGAACCUGGGGCUGGAUCACCUCCUU